This 207-nucleotide ribosomal RNA is filed under the name uncultured bacterium. RNAcentral's name for it is "partial 16S ribosomal RNA". It matches the Rfam family "Bacterial small subunit ribosomal RNA", at positions 568 to 774 of the family's 1533-position model. The record is from RNAcentral.
CGUGUAGGCGGAGAUGCAAGUUGGGAGUGAAAUCCCGGGGCUCAACCCCGGAACUGCUUUCAAAACUGCAUCCCUUGAGUAUCGGAGAGGCAAGCGGAAUUCCUAGUGUAGCGGUGAAAUGCGUAGAUAUUAGGAGGAACACCAGUGGCGAAGGCGGCUUGCUGGACGACAGCUGACGCUGAGGCGCGAAAGCGUGGGGAGCAAACA